This 486-nucleotide ribosomal RNA is filed under the name uncultured bacterium. RNAcentral describes it as "bacterial SSU rRNA". It matches the Rfam family "Bacterial small subunit ribosomal RNA", at positions 8 to 524 of the family's 1533-position model. The record is from RNAcentral.
AGAGUUUGAUCAUGGCUCAGGACGAACGCUGGCGGCGUGCCUAAAACAUGCAAGUCGAACGAGAGCUUCGGCUCUAGUGGCGAACGGCGGAGUAAUACGUGAACAACGUGCCCCUAAGUCCGGGACAAACGCAGAAAUGCCAUAAAUACCGGAUGUGGUCAGGAUGAUGCAUAUCGAUCUGAUUAAAGGUUUUUCGCUUAGGGAGCGGUUCACGGCCUAUCAGCUAGUUGGCGGGGUAAAAGCCCACCAAGGCGACGACGGGUAGGGGGUCUAAGAGGAUGAUCCCCCCGAGUGGGACUGAGACACGGCCCACACACCUACGGGUGGCAGCAGUUGGGAAUCUUGCACAAUGGGGGAAACCCUGAUGCAGCGACGCCGCGUGGAGGAUGAAUGGUCUAGGCCUGUAAACUCCUUUUACCAGGAAAGACUUAGGACGGUACCUGGUGAAUAAGCCCCGGCUAACUACGUGCCAGCAGCCGCGGUAAU